AGGACCCUAGUAAAACGCACAUCACACUGCCUUGUCAAGGCAGAAUUGUGGGUUAAAACCCCACGGAUCCCG
This 72-nucleotide transfer RNA is filed under the name Narcetes stomias (blackhead salmon). RNAcentral's name for it is "tRNA-Asp". It matches the Rfam family "tRNA". From Rfam's summary of the family: Transfer RNA (tRNA) molecules are approximately 80 nucleotides in length. Their secondary structure includes four short double-helical elements and three loops (D, anti-codon, and T loops). The record is from RNAcentral. Lineage: Eukaryota; Metazoa; Chordata; Actinopteri; Alepocephaliformes; Alepocephalidae.